Molecule: transfer RNA, 73 nt
Filed under: Zootermopsis nevadensis
Lineage: Eukaryota; Metazoa; Arthropoda; Insecta; Blattodea; Termopsidae
Rfam family: tRNA
About the family: Transfer RNA (tRNA) molecules are approximately 80 nucleotides in length.
Source: Rfam by way of RNAcentral
GACACGGUGGUCUAGCGGUCAGAACGCUGGCCUUGUAAUCCUGGGGUCUCGGGUUCGAUUCCCGGCGGUGUCC